UACGUAGGUCACGAACGUUAUUCGGAAUCACUGGGCUUAAAGGGCGCGUAGGCGGCUUAGCAAGUAGAGGUUGAAAUCCGGCGGCUCACCCGUCGAACUGGUCUCUAAACUGCUAGGCUGGAGUCAUGGAGGGGUGCGUGGAACUUGUGGUGGAGCGGUGAAAUGCUCAGAUAUCACAGGGAACACCGGUGGCGAAGGCGACGCACUGGCCAUGUACUGACGCUGAGGCGCGAAAGCCAGGGGAGCGAAC
RNAcentral lists this ribosomal RNA (250 nucleotides) under uncultured bacterium. RNAcentral describes it as "partial 16S ribosomal RNA". It matches the Rfam family "Bacterial small subunit ribosomal RNA", at positions 524 to 773 of the family's 1533-position model. The record is from RNAcentral.